CGAAAUAAAGCAUUAAUAUGCAUUUCACUUACAUUGAAAAGAUAAUGAAACUCAUUUAUUUCGA
RNAcentral lists this transfer RNA (64 nucleotides) under Glycera capitata. RNAcentral's name for it is "tRNA-Val". The record is from RNAcentral. Lineage: Eukaryota; Metazoa; Annelida; Polychaeta; Phyllodocida; Glyceridae.